AGUCCCACCCAGUCCCAUGAACUCCUCUGAAAGCCAUGGGCCAUUGAGAGUUUAACUGUAGCAUCAGAGAACUUGGUCCAUUCCUUCUCCACUUCCAGCGUCACUAAUGGUAAGUUCACCUUAAAGGGAAACUGAGCAGGACAGAGGAAGAUGGAACAGAAUCCUAGACACAACUGUAGGUACCCACUCGUGAUCCAGCACACCCACAGCUGUGCCGCCCUCAAACUGCUGCUGCUGCAGGAUGCUUUCAAAGUCCUCCAUCCGCUGCUCCAGAUUACGCAUGUGAGCCGGCAGGUGGCAGUUGAGGAAGCACACAGGGUGCCCGAAAACCAUCAUGCGUGCACUUACGCCCCCUUUAUUCCCCUGAGACAAACAUAUAGAGGCAGAGGAUAAUGGGAAGACAUUAAUAAUACAGCAGCUCUGGACUCCAUAGUAGGGUGUUCUUUUAUUUUUUUGUGCCUGCCCUACUGGUGAAAGAAAAAAACAUUAUUAUAGAGAUUAUUUACUCACCCUUACUCGUUCCAUACUAUUAUGCUCUUUAUUUUUAUUUUUUUCCAUGGAAUCCAAUGGAACAUUUUAAAUUUUUAAUCUUCAUGCAGCUAUUUUCCAUACAGUAAUAGUUUAUAGCAACCACAGCUGUCAAACUCCAAUAAAGAACAAACAUUCAAUUGA
Cyprinus carpio (common carp) is the source of this 672-nucleotide long non-coding RNA. RefSeq lists it as uncharacterized. NCBI's taxonomy places the organism in Eukaryota, Metazoa, Chordata, Actinopteri, Cypriniformes, Cyprinidae. The transcript has 2 exons. The record is from RefSeq and is a predicted model, not a curated record.